UUUCCAUUUUCGUCAUUGGUAUUGUUUUGUGGGUUGAGUUUUUUUUUUAAGGAUCUCCUCGCGCCGGAAAUGACGUACUUAAAGCUAAUGCCAUGGUCAGGCUCAGUCCUGGGCUUGCUUGAUGACGUCAGAGGUCGUCCACAGUCAUGCGUGUUGGGCUUCUCAUUGGGUUUCGUGUUAUGAGAGCGCGAGGCCUCGAACUUCAAUAAAUUAGUGGACGAGCCUCCACGGCCCCUGCUCCGUGUCCACAAUGGAGGCUAUGGACAUAGAUUUGGACCCAGAGCUUAUGCAGAAAUUCAGCUGUAUGGGCACUACGGACAAAGACGUGCUCAUCUCCGAAUUCCAGCGCUUAUUGGGCUUUCAGCUGAAUCCGGCCGGCUGCGCCUUCUUCUUGGACAUGACCAACUGGAACCUUCAAGCAGCCAUUGGUGCAUAUUAUGACUUUGAGAUCCCAAAUAUGAAUACCCCAUCUAUGUCAUUUGUGGAGGAUGUGACGAUUGGUGAAGGGGAGUCUGUUCCCCCAGACACACAGUUCACAAAGACGUGGAGAAUACAGAACACAGGUGCAGAGACCUGGCCACCAGGGGUGUCUCUCAAAUAUAUAGGUGGGCACCAGUUUGGGCACGUGAACAUGAUGAUGGUGCGUUCACUAGAGCCCCAGGAGGUGUCAGAUGUCAGCGUACAGAUGCACAGCCCAACAGCAGCUGGCAUGUACCAGGGCCAGUGGAGGAUGUGCACAGCCAACGGAUUUUUCUAUGGCGAUGUAAUCUGGGUGAUCCUCAGCGUGGAAGAAGGUGGUCUCCUAGGUGUGACUCAGCAGCUCUCUUCCUUUGAGACAGAAUUCAACACCCAGCCACACCGGUGUGUGCAGGAAGACUUCAACCCCUUUGCCUCACCACAGAAGAACAAGAAUGAUGCUGGCAAUGAACAGCUCAAGGACCCUGGAGGACCGUGGAAAGGCUCAACUGACCAAAUGCAGCAAGAGCAAAAUGGACUGUCAUGCAACUCUGUAAAUGCAACACCAAAUGGUCUCCAGAACAGCCUCUCAGUGAUUACGUACAGCCAGCAACAAUCUCCAGCCUUUCAUGGGGGAUCCCCAGCAGUUCUCAAGCCAACCACAAGAUAUAAUCUCUCCAUUGUGUCCUGGGUACACCCUGGGGGCCUUCUUCCGCUAGGGCACGCCUGACACACCUCUCAUGGGAGGCGUUCCAGGAGUAUAUCCUACCUAAAUACCUGAACAACCUCAGCUGAUUUUUUCAUGAUCUGGAGGAGCAUUGGCACUUUUGUGAGGCCCUUCAUGAUACCUCUCCCUGUCCUGAAGUAUGAGUCCUGCCACCCUACAGAGGAACCUCAUUUCUGUUGCAUAUACCCACGAUCUUGUUCUUUGCUCACUUCCCAAAGCUUGAGAGAAGGGGAUGUACACUGAACAGUCCCCCCCCAAAGGACUCGGGUCCUUCACCACCACAGUCCAUAACACUGUAUCUGCCAUGAGCUGACGGUCAAUGCUACAAUUCCCUCUUCCGGCACAGUGUCGGUGUUGAAUCACUUGGAAAGGCUCGUUAAGUCAAUGAAUAAGCCUUUGUAAAGCUGCCAUUUUUGAGAAAGGUAUACAUGGACCAUACCAUUUUGGACAGUCUUAACUGAAUGGAUUCCCAUAUUUUAGGCAGUGCUGAGAGCCUGCCACCUUAGGGAUUCAAUCCAUGCUGGGGGAGCAAAGAAAGGGUUACAGAAAUGAAAUACUGACUCUCUGCUGACCCCCUCCCAAAUCCCCCUUCUUCCCAAGUCUUCACCUCCAACUGCAACGUUUGAAAAUGAAGAGAUGGCUGAUUUUAUUCUUGUAUAAUCAAACCACCAGCCCCAAACCUUGAACGUACACAUAAGUGGUUUCAUAAACAAAGAAUGCAGCACAUUGUUAAAAUACACAUUUCAAUAGUUUUAGGAGAGCUAACAUGCAUAUAUUUUGUUUGUCUUCAUAUGAAAGUGGCGUGUUAAUGGAAUGUGGGUGUGCGGACGAUGGUAAGACAAAGGGGGCGGGAGAUAUUUGUAACUUUUUGCCCUUUGUGUAACCUUAGGUUUUCAGCUGAUGUUUUAAUGUUUUGAAUCUUGUUCUUUUUAUUAUAUUGACACUGGUUGCACAGUGUGUGCUAUUUGGAGACAAGAAUGUAAGGUGAGGGAGUUCUAACUCUUCCUGAUAUGAUUUUGGGUGUGAUUGAUCACCUUCAUGAUGAAUACAAAUCCUGUCGUCGCUGCCAGGAAAUUGAAAUGCCUUAGACUAGUCAAGGCAAGUAGUACUACUGAAGUACAGGAGUAGGUGUUGUUAGUCUAAACACUAUGCUGGUCUGGCCAGCCAGGGAGAUCAGCUGCACCAGAGCUAAAAGCAGUCUCUCCUACGUGACACUGUCUGUCUGGGUUCUCCUGCGCAGUGUUCUGUCACAGCCAGUGGCUUUAGAGGGGCAUUUCUUGUCUGUGUCCAUGUGAUGCUGUAGUUACAGCUACAGAUGUUUACAUGAUCAGACUGCACUGGGCCCGUGGUACAGGGCUUCUCUGUGACUCGAGAAGCCACAGCUGAUGAUUUAGCAGGGGGAUGCUGCCACAGUCAGGCAGAGUCAAGCUGUAAGCAUUGCACUAAAACAUUUGCCAUGUUCAAACUGUGGUGGGAUUCCUGAUCAGUGUCUUUCAGAUUUUGUGGAAUCAGUAUCCCAGGUGGAGUUCCAAGUUCCAUGAACUGGUAACUGAGUAUAUUUGUCACUGUCAAGAUCCAAGGUGUGAAAAAGGUGUGGAAAAACUGUGUGAAAUCCAAAGAUCAGCCAGCUUGAACUGGUACAGUGAUAGUGAUAUCAGACUUGAUGGUUGUGACAUCAAUAUUGUGUGUGUGUGUGUGUGUGUGUGUGUGUGUGUGUGUGUGUGUGUGUGUGUGAAUUAUGUUGCUAUAGAAUGUUACGCUAUGCCUUUUGAAUAUGUUAAUUUUAAUCAGGUUUUGGAUGUCUUAUUUUGGUUAAAAAGCAGCUAAUGAGACUUGAAAUGAGACACUUUAUUAUAUACAGUUUGGAAGUAAUAUGAAAUGACUGAUUUAUUAUGUAUUGACUGCUUAAAUUGUGUGACAUUCAGUUCACCUGAACACCAGCUUUUGGAGAAGAGGUUUCUUAAGUCUGAAACAAUUUUACUUUAUUAUACUUAUUCAGUUUGUACUACUGUUAAAGCUCUCACAGGAGCACUUUUAUAAUCCAUGCACAUUUGAAGUGUACAGUAACAAAUUCACCCCACAUUUUACUGUCAAGGAUUGUUGAACUUUUGUCAAGUUUCUUCACAUUUGCCCAGUGUAGUGCACUGAUUUAGUCAGUAAUUCUGUAUUUGGAUUUGGAGUCACCAUUGUUGGAGUCUUUGUGUUUUUUAUUUUUUUUUAUUUUUUUUUUUAAAAAUGCUGUGUUCCUGGGAACCUCUGAAUGAGGUUUACAGCAUCUGAGGUUUGCUUUGAGCUGUGUUGGUGUAACCUUAUUAGUUGUUACCACAAUCCUUGCCACAGUCAUCCCAAAGAGUAUUCACUGUCUUGCCUUGUUAUCAUGUAGUUUACUUUAAUAUUGUAAUUGCAUUUCUGAAUUCCUUUAGUAUGUGUUGAAUUCCUAGCCAGCCCCCCCCCCCCUUCUCCCCCUUACUGUCUAGUUGUGGGCAGGACAGUUUGGUGAAUGAAUGAGAUUUGUGUAGUUCCUGUCAUAGUACAUAUAAAAGAACAUAAAAAUGUCCAAAAGAAUUAUAAGCAUAUUUUGUUUAUAUAAAUGCACUUUUUCUAUGAUUAACACAAACUAAAAAUGUUUGAAUCGUGGGUGUUAUGGUUUGCUUGUCACUUUAGCAGUUAUACAUGCUUGUAUGUGAGGACUUAACAUUUUAACUUUCAUUUUUAAACAUAGCGUAUUGUUACGCAAUAAUGAUUUACCAGUUUGUUUUUAUAGUACAAAACAUUCAUUUGACAAAUAAAUGGACCACUGAAGUGUGACACCAAGAAAGUGGAAGUCUGUAAGGCCUUUGAGACAUUUCAGUUGCUGCUACAAUGGACAGAAAACACACAUUCUUGCUUCUUCUUUCCUAUACUGAUGACAUGAAUCUUUGUCAUGACCAGUGAUUCCUUUUGUAUCUGCCAAUGACAAACUUUUAUUGGAAAAAUAUCAGCUGUAAUUAGCAAGCCCUAUAGCUCAAACUAGAAACCUUGAGUGUCAUUGCACAAUUUAGAUCAUUUUAUAGUUGGAUCUACUUUCUUAAAUACUCAGCAUAUAAUUUAUGUGAGUUUUGUAUAUGAUGUGUUGCAUCCAUUCUUUUUUUAAAUUUGUUUUAUGGAUAACAUGGGAUCACAGCGACAUAAAGGUAGAGGCUACACCAAGCAAUUGUGUAUACGUCCACAUCCAUGAAACAAGGGCUGAAGGUGAGAAUGUUAAUAUUUCACAGUUAUGAUCACAGCCCUAUGUAAUAUUUUCCAUAAGGGUGUGUGCACAUUGCAGAAUUCCUCUGAAUUGUCAUGCAGGUCAAAUGUUAAGAGGAAGAUAACAUUUUAGUCAUUCACAUAUUUACAGUUUGCUUAUUCUGGAUUGUAUGUUGCUUUGGAUAAAAAUGUCUUUCAGGCAAAUAAAUUCAGAGUGAAUUUCAGUUUGUGGACCAUAGCAUUAAAAUUAAUUUCUGUGCCAAAUUUGUAAGCGUAAUCAGAAUACAUUUCAUAAAUUCAACAAAAAGAAUUUUGGUUUAAGAAGAAAACAGAGGGGGACUAAUUGUCAAAAUUCCGGGUUUCUUCAGAGCCCUAACUUUAGCAGCUGUCUUUGAUGAAGACUCUUUGUGCUUUAAGUUUUUUUUUUUU
Molecule: RNA transcript, 4840 nt
Organism: Scleropages formosus (Asian bonytongue)
Lineage: Eukaryota; Metazoa; Chordata; Actinopteri; Osteoglossiformes; Osteoglossidae
Exons: 6
Source: RefSeq, a predicted model, not a curated record